This is an RNA transcript of Egretta garzetta (little egret), 6600 nucleotides long. It is a transcript of the gene named methyl-CpG binding domain protein 3, with no coding region annotated. The record is from RefSeq and is a predicted model, not a curated record. The transcript has 11 exons. NCBI's taxonomy places the organism in Eukaryota, Metazoa, Chordata, Aves, Pelecaniformes, Ardeidae.
GGGAGCUGCUUGCUCUGCCUGAAGGAUCGCUAUUAAUAUCAAUGUAUGUCUCAUAUGGCUGUAGGUGGGCCAUAUGGAUCCUUCCUGCACCCAUAAGAGGCAGCCUCGGUGCCCCCGCGAGCUGAUGUGUGAAACUUGGGUCCGUCGGGAGCUGGGAGAGCGUAGCAGAAGUUCUCCAGGUUGUCCUUAUCUGGCCUUUUUAGUCGGUAAAAUGUAUGCGACCGACUUCUGCGUGCGUUAGGGUUCAUUUUUAUUAUUUUUUUUUAAAAUCAGAUUAUGGUUCUGAGAGAAGCGUGCUGUGCUGGGUGGCGAGUGAACGGGCAAAUACUGUCCUGGGGAGCGGAAAGCUGGAAGUGCCGGCUCCACCGCCUCAGCCUGGAGUCUGCAGGGAGAAGGAAAGACAGCAGCGAGAGGAGGUGUAGCCGAAAGCUUAAAACAUCCCUGUUUUUCCAAGAACAGUUGCAGUCUCAGAGCUGAACUUAAAAGAGAGGGCGCGAGAAGUAGCGUAUUUUGAUUCCCGAGUUAUAAUGGAUUUUCCCUUUGUAUCAGUUUGGACAGAGAUCAAAGGUAUAACAGGGCCCUGCUGCACUAAUUUUUGGUUACUGUUGCACUUCGCAUUACCUCAGAGCGGAAAAUACGCGUGUGGCAAUUUGUUAAUACCUCUGCUAUUUCUACCUGUUGUUUACCUGGAUGAUUUUUUUUUUUUUGUCCGGCUACACCGAAUGCACAGAUGCAGCAUUUGUGGCAAACUGCAUGCACGGUUUGGAAACGAGCGCUCUCGUCUGCAGUCGCCAGCCUGGAGAAUUAACGCUGAGCCCAGGCGAUGGGCGAGGGGGUGGCAGUUACUGCUUUUCCGAACCGUUGUUUAGGGCUGUGGCGCUUUCUUUUUGGACGUUUCCUUCUGUAACCCUGAGCACCAGCAGCACAUCCUUUCUGCGUGAGGGUUUCUGUCGAAUACGUGUUCUGCUUUGGGCGAUAAGACGCGGUUGUGCCGAGUACGUUCAGCUGGUGAGAUGUGAGUUUGCACGAGCCCGUUGCUGGCUGGAAAUUAAACCCUCCUCGAGGUGUAAGUGAAUCCCUGGGCAGGUUUUUUCGGAAUAGUCCUGUAACCCUGCGCUUACCAACUGUUGAUUGUGCAGGAAUUUUUAAACUGCGGGGCAUUCUCUUGUCCGCUGAGCUUUCUCUUGUAGCUUAAGAGUUGGGAGAGCCGUGAGGGUGUCUGGCUGAUGUGGUGGGGCUCACGGGCCAAAUUCAGAGCGCGCAGGAAAGGUGUGGGGAUGCAGGAUUUCAGGAAGAGAAGCAUAUCGGGAAUGUCGCAAAAGUGGCGGGUUGUCUUGGAGAGAGUUUUGGCCACAAAGGCCUUCUUCAAACUCCGUGUUCCCACCUAGGGGAAGGAGAGUUUAGCUCUGCUUUGCGUGACUUUUCUUCCUAGUGUUUUUCUGCGGAAGGUUUGGUGGCCAAGUGUCUGAGAAGUUUGGGGGCGCUGCUCGUCUCUGCUUCAAGGAGUUGUUGACAUCGUUGUUCUGGAAAACUUAGCAGAUCUCUUGGGUGAAGCUUAUUUUGCUGUGAAUUUCUUACUUGUGCAGCACCUAUGUAAAAAGUUCAAGAAAACAUUUCUAACAUCCACCCCCCAAGUAUAUUUUGGUCUGUAUAUAUUUUUUUUUUUUUUGCCCUGCAAUUGUGGAGGAGAAAUGCUUUUACCAAGACCAUACUUUGCUCUUUCUCAGUUGUUCUCUUUUACCCACCGCUCCCCCAGGGAAGCUCUCGUGAUGCUCGAGAGGAGCCUUAUAAAGAUGGCUGGUUACGUUUGGGCACAGUCCUGUGUUACGGGACAGCCGCUCGGGUUCUUGGUUAGGGGUGGGGUGCUUCUGGAAAUUUGGGAGAUUGUGUGUGUAUUGUGUGGAUCAAAGCUGGGGUUUGGGGUUGGUUUUUUUGUGGGUGUUUUUUUUUGGUUUUUUUUUUUUUUUUUAGGAGGGUGUUGUUUUUUCUGUGGUCAGAGCCCAAGUUACUGAACCAAAACAACCCCGUUGCCCUGCGGGGCAGGGAGCACAUCCCUUCCACACUGCUGCUGGCAGUGGUGCGGGGCGUCCAUGUGCAGUGCUUUUCCUUUGGGCCAAGCUUCCCCAGGAAGAGACAGGACCCUGAGUCAUUUCAGCCCAAGUGGUAAAAAGUUCCGAAGCAAGCCCCAGCUGGCACGCUACCUGGGAAGCUCAAUGGACCUGAGCACUUUUGACUUCCGCACAGGAAAAAUGUUGAUGAAUAAAAUGAACAAGAACAGACAGAGGAUGCGCUAUGACUGUUCCAACCAAGCCAAAGGCAAGCCUGAUUUGAACACCGCCCUGCCUGUCAGACAGACAGCCUCCAUAUUCAAACAACCUGUCACAAAGAUCACAAACCAUCCCAGCAAUAAGGUGAAGAGCGAUCCUCAGAAAGCUGUGGACCAGCCCCGGCAGCUCUUCUGGGAGAAGAAAUUAAGUGGACUGAAUGCUUUUGACAUUGCAGAGGAGCUGGUGAAAACAAUGGACCUUCCAAAAGGUUUACAAGGGGUUGGACCUGGUUGCACUGAUGAAACCCUUCUCUCCGCUAUCGCUAGCGCUCUCCACACCAGCACGAUGCCUAUCACUGGACAGCUCUCUGCGGCCGUGGAGAAGAAUCCUGGAGUUUGGCUAAACACCUCACAGCCGCUUUGCAAAGCAUUUAUGGUGACAGAUGAAGAUAUUAGGAAGCAAGAGGAACUGGUGCAGCAGGUGCGGAAGAGGCUGGAGGAAGCCCUGAUGGCUGACAUGCUUGCCCAUGUAGAGGAAAUAGCGAGAGAUGGGGAAGCCCCUUUGGAGAAAGAAGGAGGCGAGGAAGAAGGAGAAGAGGAAGAGGAGGAGGAGGAGCAGGACCAUGACCAGGAGAUGGAGAACGUAUAGUCCAGGGAGUUCCAUCUAAGAAUUCCCAGUAUAAACCCUAUCAGCAGGGUCAGCACAACAAAGCCAAGAGUGUCUGCCAAGUAAAUUGCACCAACAAUCCAACUGUACCUAUGAGCAUUUCGAUGUACGCUUCAGGAAACGUUGAGAAGCUGAUGGUUCAUUAAUUGCUGGGUAGUUUUGAAGAUGGAACUUGACUAAACUCUACUCCCCCUCCUUUUUCUAAAGGGGUAGGGUAAUUGGGAAUGCAAAAGUGGGAGGGAAUAAAGGAAUAUAAAAUGGUGGGAGGGGAAAAUACUAGGAACCAAAUUUCCUGUCCUUUUUUUUUUUUUUGUUGUGGGUCAGUGAUAGGUGAUACAUUUUUAAGCUUUUCUAUCAAAGUACCUUUAACAGUGACCCAUAGAAACAAUUUUCUCUCCAACACAAGUGCGAGAGAUGCUGUUUCACUCCUUGGCUACUCUGCUGUAGGCUACCUGUUUGUACCAGACUGUAGGGAGGUCAUUUUAUGUUGUGGAUUGUCAUUCCAUGUGUCAGUUUGGGUCACUGAAUUUCCUUUUCCUCGCAAGACCACAUUGGUCUUGGAAGUGUAGUCUCAGAGCUGAACGGCCAGUGCCUCUUCCACCUGAUGUUUUGAUUAGUAGGGGAAGUUACACCCGAGGAAUUGGUCUUACAUCAAUGGCAAUCGUUUUUUUUAGUUAGUUCCAGCACCACACCGAAUGCACUACCAUGCACGUUUUUGAUACGGAGUUGUGCGUACGUCCCAGCACAGCCGAACGGAGUUUCGCCGAUUAAAUAUACCCACUCAGUGGUAUAUUCUGCUUUGGUUUAAGUCUGGUCAGAAGGACCUUCUCAACUCGGAAUGGAGGGACGACUCCUUUCUGACUGACAAUGAGGAAAACUUCCUCCUCCUGGUGCCAAGAACCCUGACCUCUCUUUCUCUGUGUGUGGAGGGAAGGGGAUCCAUUCCAAUAGGUGUGUCUACACAUCUGCUUUCGUGUGCAGUAAUGUUCUGACCUCUUUUAAAACAAGAAAGGAAAAAGGUUGAUUUUUCUAUAAUUGAUAUCUAAAAAUGAAUUUAAAGCUUUUUAUUAAGUAUGAAAUCUUUCUUAUUUGCAUGUGCAGUGAAGUGACCAGCAUUUUGUGUCCAAAAAUGAAAUGAUGUGAAACCUGCCUUAAUGUGUUUAUAAGUAUUUGGCUUCACCAUGGGUACCUUGAUUGAUUCCUCAGUCUCUUCUAGUACAUCUGUGAGCAUAUUGGGGUAACUUGUGGCUAAAAAUGGAUUUACCUGGGGAGGGAGGAUAGUGAGAGGGGCGGAAGAUGAGAAUUUAUAGCUUGGAGAAUGUGUUGAAUGGGUUGCAAAAGUUAUUUUAGUCUUAGGGUAUCCAUUGCGUAAUUCACGCGUGGAUGUCUCAGCUGAGAGUACAGUAUAAAGUGGUGGAUUAAAUAUUGUGCCACUGACCAAUUGUACAAGUUGUUGGUAUCCCAAAACUUGGGGAAGAAAGUAGCUCCCAGAGCCUUUAUCAUGUAAGAAUGGUUAGCAGUGACAGCCAGGGACCAGGGGAAUUGCCUGGAAAGUAAAUAGCCUUUGGGAGUAGUUCAGCUUAGUGAUCUGAGUAGGUUUAAGCUCCUUGAAAAAUAUCCCAUGCCAAAGUGAUUGAUACUGUAUUAACUCUUUUCUUAAAGAUUUGAAAAUACAAAAAUCUUUGAUAUUGCUCAUUUGGAGUACUGCAAGAAGACUGAAUUGUAGUUUGCUGCUGCUCUACCAGAGAUUCUUCUAGUCUGCAUCAAGCCCCUCCCUGGAGGUUUUGUGCUGCGCCCCUUCCAGUUAUUUCAGCGGGGACGCUCAUGCGUUUUUGUUGUGGGCUCCAUUCUGAGAUUUGGAUCCUGAUAUUUGGGACCUGGCAGAGGGGAAUACAGAGCGAAAGUUGUGGAAAGCCCAUUCGUUCUUGCUGCAGAGUCUUCCCAUGUCCUCACCAAGUAAGAGGCUGCCAGGGUGUCCCGUCCAGUGGGAAAGUUGCUGGUGUGGUCCUUGGAAUCUCACCUCUAGCAGUUUCUAACCCGUGGUUAUAGAGGUGUUCUUUUGACCAUGGCAAAAGUGUUUCCUUUUUAAAACUUGCUUAAUAUCUAGUAACGUCUUGACUUCUAUUUGAAUCUAAAUACGUUGUAAGCAGAAGUAGCACCAGAACUUAGAUGAUUGAGGUGUUGCUACUAAUAUUUUGAUGCAUUGACUAUCAAGUUGAAAUUGCUGGCAGCUUGCGUGCCAACUGUUUUGUUUUCACCACUCUGCUUUCCCCGUCCAGCUCUUUCCUUCAGUCCUUUAAAAGUUUAUUAAAAGUUUCCAUUCGUAUGGAGAAGUUGGUUGUUCAAAGUACCAAAAAGGGGCCCAGGACUCCUAUCGCAUCCCAAGAAACUUAAAUAACUUUACCUGCUUAUCCAGACAGCCUACUGCCGUGGACGUGACUGCUGGGCAUGUAGUGGUCUGCCGGCGUUGAAUGUAUCCCCGAGGUGGAGAAGGCAGUUGUUACUUGAGGUAUAUCUCUUUAAGCAGGCGAUUGGUAAUGAACAUACUUAAGUGAGUGGAUUUGGGGCAAAACUUAACUUUUUAUGAAUAUACAGCAGUUGUUACAGAACAUACUAACAGUGGCGUUGUCCGUUGUUCCAUCUGAGAUCAAGUUCAUCUGCUUGGGGAAGUACUAGUGAGGGGAUGCUUUUGAAACCGGUAAUUCUUUCCAUCGGCGGUAAUGGCGCCUUCCUGUUGCCGUCACAUAUUGUAAAUGUAUGUAAAUACGGAGCUGCGAUGUGAAACAGCCUUAGGUUUGUCCUACGCGCUGUUUUUUUGAUUUUUUUCUACUAUUUUGAUUAUUUUCUACUAAAACAAUAGUACCACGCUCUGCGGACAGACAGUUACAUUGGUAGAGUUUAGUCCUCUUCGGAGAUAACGUAUGAGCUUAUUUUAAUGGUCCUUAGGCAGCUUCACUAAGGGGUAGGCUCUGGUCCAGCCCAGCUAAAGUUUUGCAUCUUUUUUUCUGUAGAGAGUGUAAUUUGGGAUACAAACCACCCGAGCUCACACAAGCUCCAGUUCUUACGCUGUGUCAUGCUCAGUCAGGUUUUUCUUGCUUUAUCGGGAAACAGCAGCCUGCCUAAUUCUGCAGGGCACCGGCUGGAGGAGAUGGGGGAUGAACUGGUUUGGUUGAUGUUGGUUGAUAGGAUGAAAACCCUCGGAAUGCCGCUUUGCUCUGCAAAGAACUAACGAAGUUACAGGGAAUGUAAUGAUCUCCCCGUGUGUAUUAUCAGCGUUAUUUUUACUGAAUUCUGGUCGGAUGAAUUUUGUGCAAUCAAUAAAAAUGACGAAUUUGCAUGGAUAUGGGUACGGUCUGGAUUUGGCCCGCAGAGCUUUUGUAGGUGGUUCUGCCCAGGAAAAGUUCGCUUGAUUCACAUCUGAAAUUGAACUUGCUGAACUGGCUGUUGAGCAAGAAAAGGGAGGAGUUUUCUUGCUUGUAAACUGAGCACAUUGGGAAGGGAAAACAGCCAUGACUGACACGGCUGGACUGCGGGAAUGUAGGCCUGUUAAACCCUGCCUACGGAGGCUUUGGCGUCAUGGCUGUGAGUUGUUUUCUAGUGAUAAUAUUACAUGAAAAAUAUUUUUGACGUUAGAAUUCGCGGGUAAAUGUACACUCUUGUUCUGUUU